UACGAAGGGGGCUAGCGUUGCUCGGAAUUACUGGGCGUAAAGGGCGCGUAGGCGGAUAUCUAAGUUGGGGGUGAAAUCCCGGGGCUCAACCUCGGAAUUGCCUUCAAAACUGGAUAUCUUGAGUUCGGGAGAGGUGAGUGGAACUCCGAGUGUAGAGGUGAAAUUCGUAGAUAUUCGGAAGAACACCAGUGGCGAAGGCGACGCACUGGCCCGAUACUGACGCUGAGGCGCGAAAGCGUGGGGAGCAAACAGG
RNAcentral lists this ribosomal RNA (253 nucleotides) under uncultured bacterium. Its description in RNAcentral is "partial 16S ribosomal RNA". It matches the Rfam family "Bacterial small subunit ribosomal RNA", at positions 524 to 776 of the family's 1533-position model. The record is from RNAcentral.